Cuculus canorus (common cuckoo) is the source of this 702-nucleotide long non-coding RNA. RefSeq lists it as uncharacterized. The transcript is spliced from 4 exons. Lineage: Eukaryota; Metazoa; Chordata; Aves; Cuculiformes; Cuculidae. The record is from RefSeq and is a predicted model, not a curated record.
ACAGAAGAAGCUGCGGUCACCAACUCUCCCUCCCUGCCCCUGAGCACCAUCUAGAAAUAAUCACUUAAAAAGCAGCAUGACACUUCCUUAAAACAAGUCUCUGCUGAGGCUUGAGCAGAUGGCUUCCUGAGGACUUCUGAAGGCACUUCACAUGGCUUUGGCCGUUACAGAGAAGCAUAAAAAUAAGGGCUGAAAAAUUCGCGACUGUGAUGGGGAGCUAAAUAAGGAAACAGAGCUGCUUACUGAAAAGCCACCCCCUCCGAGAGAAAUGUCAGUGACACAAUGAGCACUAUUAUUCUGCUCCUUUACAACCAGAUCGGGGGUUUAUGGCUUUUUGUAGCAUCCUAAACAGAAGGAUAUUGAAGGGAGCUGAUUCUGCUUUGAUCCUUAUGCUUGUUGUCAAAGCGCUUGGGAUUGAAGAGACUGUUGGCUACAAUUGACUGUGACAAUUAGGAGAUGAUCAGAGCCCUAGAGUGGAGCACUUAAAGGUUGCGCUAAACUUGUUGAACAUCCCAAUAUUUAUGUGUGUUUAUCCCUGUAUCCAACGUAAAGAACAAACAGGAUACAUAAAAUAAAAUAUGAAUAGUACACAGCGCAAUGACAGAGUGAGUCUGGAAUGGCUUUGGCUUUAUGUGUGUCUGCAGAACUGAGGCAAUGGUAAAUCUGUACUAGAAAAAAAAAUGAGGCAUAGCAGGAGGUCCU